This 352-nucleotide unclassified non-coding RNA is filed under the name soil metagenome. RNAcentral describes it as "partial contains 5.8S ribosomal RNA, internal transcribed spacer 2, and large subunit ribosomal RNA". The stretch from base 1 to 120 matches the Rfam family "5.8S ribosomal RNA", at positions 35 to 154 of the family's 154-position model. The record is from RNAcentral.
GAUGAAGAACGCAGCGAAAUGCGAUAAGUAAUGUGAAUUGCCGAAUUCAGUGAAUCAUCGAAUCUUUGAACGCACAUUGCGCCCGCCAGUAUUCUGGCGGGCAUGCCUGUUCGAGCGUCAUUACAACCCUCAGGCCCCCGGGCCUGGCGUUGGGGAUCGGCGGAGCCCCCCGUGGGCACAAGCCGUCCCCCAAAUGCAGUGGCGGUCCCGCCGCAGCUUCCAUCGCGUAGUAGCUAACACCUCGCGACUGGAGAGCGGCGCGGCCACGCCGUAAAACACCCAACUCUUCUGAAGUUGACCUCGAAUCAGGUAGGAAUACCCGCUGAACUUAAGCAUAUCAAUAAGCGGAGGA